UACGUAGGGGGCAAGCGUUGUCCGGAUUUAUUGGGCGUAAAGAGCGUGUAGGCGGUUUGGUAGGUCCGCUGUGAAAACUCGAGGCUCAACCUCGAGACGCCGGUGGAAACCAUCAGGCUAGAGUCCGGAAGAGGAGAGUGGAGUUCCUGGUGUAGCGGUGAAAUGCGCAGAUAUCAGGAAGAACACCCGUGGCUAAGGCGGCUCUCUAGUACGGUACUGACGCUGAGACGCGAAAGCGUGGGGAGCGAACAGG
This 253-nucleotide ribosomal RNA is filed under the name uncultured bacterium. RNAcentral's name for it is "partial 16S ribosomal RNA". It matches the Rfam family "Bacterial small subunit ribosomal RNA", at positions 524 to 776 of the family's 1533-position model. The record is from RNAcentral.